This 252-nucleotide ribosomal RNA is filed under the name uncultured bacterium. RNAcentral describes it as "partial 16S ribosomal RNA". It matches the Rfam family "Bacterial small subunit ribosomal RNA", at positions 524 to 776 of the family's 1533-position model. The record is from RNAcentral.
UACGGAGGAUGCGAGCGUUAUCCGGAUUUAUUGGGUUUAAAGGGUGCGUAGGCGGGCUUUUAAGUCAGCGGUAAAAAUUCGGGGCUCAACCCCGUCCGGCCGUUGAAACUGGGGGCCUUGAGUGGGCGAGAAGGAGGCGGAAUGCGUGGUGUAGCGGUGAAAUGCAUAGAUAUCACGCAGAACCUCGAUUGCGAAGGCAGCCUUCCGGCGCCCUACUGACGCUGAGGCACGAAAGUGCGGGGAUCGAACAGG